CGAAAUGCUUCUUGUGUAUUCUCGAUGAAUUAACAUUUAUAUAUAGAUAUAGGCGGAUUUAUUUAGGAUGUAAGAAGCCCUUUUGGCAACUCUUCAUUCACAAAGAUUUCUGGUUUCUUUGUUCUUUCUCCCUACUUAUAUUCAACAAUGGUUGCUACAAAUGUUGAGUUCCAAUUCUACCGAUGCUCUGUUGCUGGCCUGGGUGAUCGAAGACCAAAACCUUGAGCGGAUUUUCAGUCGACGGGAUCAUUGAAUCAAAGGAAGUUCCCAGAAUGCAAAAUCCAAUGUUUCUAUAGAAGAACAAGAUGAAAGAAAAAGUUAGAUCAUAAUAAAUCCCUAAAAUCAAAAGACCUAAUAAAGAAGUAUUUUCAUCGGAUCAACGAUUUACCAGACUGCACUAUUGUCUUUGGGCUUACUCACAAGGAGCUCAACAAGUGCACAGGAGAAAGGUGUUUAAGGCUACCUCCCUCUCACUUAAAUAAAGCCACUUGUUGCUUGGAAGAAGAUCCUUAUGUUGUGAGGCAACUUCAAGAGGGCCGGGCACAAAUGAGGAGGCUAUUCAAUAGGGUUAACUGGAAAUCGCCCUAUAGAAUUACUAAUGGUUGAAGAUGAAGAAUGAAGUGGAAGGAACUAGUUGAAAUGGAUCGAUAUUAGAGUGGAAUCGUCAAUAAAUAGACGGAGGCUUCUUCGUAUAGAAAGCCAGAUCGAAUAAAAAAUCGAUAUGCGUAUAGAUAGAAAGAGAUGGAUAUAGUUGCCUGUAUCUAAACCAAAUAAGGUUAUUUUUUCCUUAUUUGGUUUAGAGUUGGGGCUUUCGAGCAAGCUGAAAAACUAUAGCGCACGUGUUAGCACAAUGGUGCUCUACGAUCAGCUUUACUCCUCUCAAGUGCUUGCCCUCAUGCUGAGUAGUUGUAUUAGGAGAGGACUGGGCACAAAUGAGGAGGCUCAGCUUGAUCUGCAACCAUCCUUUGGUAGAUGAGUAGACAACACACAUUUCGGGCCGAACCGAAGCGAAGAGCUCAACCAAGAGGGCAUACACAUAACAAUUCAUCAUGGAAUUUCUUGAUUACAAAAUGUAGAUUUCGUUAUUCAUUGCACAAUUGUCAUCAUUGAAUUUGUUGAUUGAAUUUGAUUUCAUUUCUUGAUUAUAAAAUGUAGAUUAGUUGAUUGUUGCAUU
Molecule: long non-coding RNA, 1174 nt
Organism: Macadamia integrifolia
Lineage: Eukaryota; Viridiplantae; Streptophyta; Magnoliopsida; Proteales; Proteaceae
Exons: 4
Source: RefSeq, a predicted model, not a curated record